CUUAGCCCCGUUUGUUUCUCAUAUUGUUUCUCAUUUUUUGAAGAAUGAUAAUGAAAAAUAUGGGCGUUACGGCUCCACACAAGAUAUAAAAAUUUAAAUUUGGUGGCUUGAUGUGAUGGAUAACGGUUAUAUUUUUCAUUUUAACGAGGAACAAUGAGAACCAAACAAUGGGCUUGGUAUGUUCGGUGUAUUUUAUAGGGUUCUCUCUUUGGUUUUCUAUACUUCUUCGUGAUUCAAUCUUUGUACUUCUUUGUGAAGGGUUCUUAGUUGUAUUAGUGUAUAUAUUAAGAUAUUGUAAGAAGUAUAGUCUGUUGUAAUAUAGAGAGGUAAGAUUCGGAUUUGUUCAUACAUUUGUACAUAUUCUUGGUUGAUUCGAGUGAAUCUAGAACAUAAUCUAUUUUGUAGAUGCUCAACGUGGUGAUUAAGUUUAUUGGCUAAACAUUCGGCCCUGGUGGUUAAAAUCCUUUUGUUCUUGCUAAUUUUUUUUUUUUUUUU
RNAcentral lists this long non-coding RNA (495 nucleotides) under Olea europaea (common olive). Its description in RNAcentral is "long non-coding RNA (OEUR_LNC000705)". Lineage: Eukaryota; Viridiplantae; Streptophyta; Magnoliopsida; Lamiales; Oleaceae. The record is from RNAcentral.